Molecule: ribosomal RNA, 2170 nt
Filed under: Salmonella enterica
Lineage: Bacteria; Pseudomonadati; Pseudomonadota; Gammaproteobacteria; Enterobacterales; Enterobacteriaceae
Description: partial 23S ribosomal RNA
Rfam family: Bacterial large subunit ribosomal RNA
Source: RNAcentral
CGACUAAUGUUGAAAAAUUAGCGGAUGACCUGUGGCUGGGGGUGAAAGGCCAAUCAAACCGGGAGAUAGCUGGUUCUCCCCGAAAGCUAUUUAGGUAGCGCCUCGUGAACUCAUCUCCGGGGGUAGAGCACUGUUUCGGCUAGGGGGCCAUCCCGGCUUACCAACCCGAUGCAAACUGCGAAUACCGGAGAAUGUUAUCACGGGAGACACACGGCGGGUGCUAACGUCCGUCGUGAAGAGGGAAACAACCCAGACCGCCAGCUAAGGUCCCAAAGUCAUGGUUAAGUGGGAAACGAUGUGGGAAGGCCCAGACAGCCAGGAUGUUGGCUUAGAAGCAGCCAUCAUUUAAAGAAAGCGUAAUAGCUCACUGGUCGAGUCGGCCUGCGCGGAAGAUGUAACGGGGCUAAACCAUGCACCGAAGCUGCGGCAGCGACACUCAGGUGUUGUUGGGUAGGGGAGCGUUCUGUAAGCCUGCGAAGGUGGCCUGUGAGGGUUGCUGGAGGUAUCAGAAGUGCGAAUGCUGACAUAAGUAACGAUAAAGCGGGUGAAAAGCCCGCUCGCCGGAAGACCAAGGGUUCCUGUCCAACGUUAAUCGGGGCAGGGUGAGUCGACCCCUAAGGCGAGGCCGAAAGGCGUAGUCGAUGGGAAACGGGUUAAUAUUCCCGUACUUGGUGUUACUGCGAAGGGGGGACGGAGAAGGCUAUGUUGGCCGGGCGACGGUUGUCCCGGUUUAAGCGUGUAGGUGUGUGUUCCAGGUAAAUCCGGUUCACUUUAACACUGAGGCGUGAUGACGAGGCACUACGGUGCUGAAGCAACAAAUGCCCUGCUUCCAGGAAAAGCCUCUAAGCAUCAGGUAACAUCAAAUCGUACCCCAAACCGACACAGGUGGUCAGGUAGAGAAUACCAAGGCGCUUGAGAGAACUCGGGUGAAGGAACUAGGCAAAAUGGUGCCGUAACUUCGGGAGAAGGCACGCUGACACGUAGGUGAAGUGAUUUACUCAUGGAGCUGAAGUCAGUCGAAGAUACCAGCUGGCUGCAACUGUUUAUUAAAAACACAGCACUGUGCAAACACGAAAGUGGACGUAUACGGUGUGACGCCUGCCCGGUGCCGGAAGGUUAAUUGAUGGGGUCAGCGCAAGCGAAGCUCCUGAUCGAAGCCCCGGUAAACGGCGGCCGUAACUAUAACGGUCCUAAGGUAGCGAAAUUCCUUGUCGGGUAAGUUCCGACCUGCACGAAUGGCGUAAUGAUGGCCAGGCUGUCUCCACCCGAGACUCAGUGAAAUUGAACUCGCUGUGAAGAUGCAGUGUACCCGCGGCAAGACGGAAAGACCCCGUGAACCUUUACUAUAGCUUGACACUGAACAUUGAGCCUUGAUGUGUAGGAUAGGUGGGAGGCUUUGAAGUGUGGACGCCAGUCUGCAUGGAGCCGGCCUUGAAAUACCACCCUUUAAUGUUUGAUGUUCUAACGUGGACCCGUGAUCCGGGUUGCGGACAGUGUCUGGUGGGUAGUUUGACUGGGGCGGUCUCCUCCUAAAGAGUAACGGAGGAGCACGAAGGUUGGCUAAUCCUGGUCGGACAUCAGGAGGUUAGUGCAAUGGCAUAAGCCAGCUUGACUGCGAGCGUGACGGCGCGAGCAGGUGCGAAAGCAGGUCAUAGUGAUCCGGUGGUUCUGAAUGGAAGGGCCAUCGCUCAACGGAUAAAAGGUACUCCGGGGAUAACAGGCUGAUACCGCCCAAGAGUUCAUAUCGACGGCGGUGUUUGGCACCUCGAUGUCGGCUCAUCACAUCCUGGGGCUGAAGUAGGUCCCAAGGGUAUGGCUGUUCGCCAUUUAAAGUGGUACGCGAGCUGGGUUUAGAACGUCGUGAGACAGUUCGGUCCCUAUCUGCCGUGGGCGCUGGAGAACUGAGGGGGGCUGCUCCUAGUACGAGAGGACCGGAGUGGACGCAUCACUGGUGUUCGGGUUGUCAUGCCAAUGGCACUGCCCGGUAGCUAAAUGCGGAAGAGAUAAGUGCUGAAAGCAUCUAAGCACGAAACUUGCCCCGAGAUGAGUUCUCCCUGAGACUUUAGGUCUCCUGAAGGAACGUUGAAGACGACGACGUUGAUAGGCCGGGUGUGUAAGCGCAGCGAUGCGUUGAGCUAACCGGUACUAAUGAACCGUGAGGCUUAACCUU